This 74-nucleotide transfer RNA is filed under the name Otolemur garnettii (small-eared galago). It matches the Rfam family "tRNA". Rfam says of the family: Transfer RNA (tRNA) molecules are approximately 80 nucleotides in length. Their secondary structure includes four short double-helical elements and three loops (D, anti-codon, and T loops). Further hydrogen bonds mediate the characteristic L-shaped molecular structure. tRNAs have two regions of fundamental functional importance: the anti-codon, which is responsible for specific mRNA codon recognition, and the 3' end, to which the tRNAs corresponding amino acid is attached (by aminoacyl-tRNA synthetases). tRNAs cope with the degeneracy of the genetic code in two manners: having more than one tRNA (with a specific anti-codon) for a particular amino acid; and 'wobble' base-pairing, i.e. permitting non-standard base-pairing at the 3rd anti-codon position. The record is from Rfam by way of RNAcentral. Lineage: Eukaryota; Metazoa; Chordata; Mammalia; Primates; Galagidae.
GCACCUGUGGCUCAAAGGAGGAGGGCACCGGCCCCAUAUGCCGGAGGUGAUGGGUUCAAACCCAGCCUGGGCCA